GACGAACGCUGGCGGCGCGCUUAACACAUGCAAGUCGAACGGAAAGGCCUGCUUUCCCUUGUGGAUUGCGGGUACUCGAGUGGCGAACGGGUGAGUAACACGUGAGUGAUCUGCCCCCAACUUGGGUAUAAGCCUGGGAAACUGGGUCUAAUUCCCGAUAGGACUGCAGGGUGGUGCCUGUGGUGGAAAACGAUUUUCUAGUGGUUGGGGAUGAGCUCGCGGCCUAUCAGCUUGUUGGUGGGGUAAUGGCCUACCAAGGCGGCGACGGGUAGCCGGCCGGAGAGGGUGGACGGCCACAUUGGGACUGAGAUACGGCCCAGACGCCUACGGGAGGCAGCCGUGGGGGAUAUUGCACAAUGGGCGGAAGCCUGAUGCAGCGACGCCGCGGGGGGGAUGACGGCCUUCGGGUUGUAAACUCCUUUCGACCGCGAGGAAGCCACGUGGUUGGAAGGGUGGUGACGGUAGUGGUAGAAGAAGCACCGGCUAACUACGUG
RNAcentral lists this ribosomal RNA (494 nucleotides) under uncultured bacterium. Its description in RNAcentral is "partial 16S ribosomal RNA". It matches the Rfam family "Bacterial small subunit ribosomal RNA", at positions 28 to 507 of the family's 1533-position model. The record is from RNAcentral.